UACAGAGGUCUCAAGCGUUGUUCGGAUUCAUUGGGCGUAAAGGGCUCGUAGGCGGUUUGUCGCGUCGGGAGUGAAAACUCAGGGCUUAACUCUGAGCCUGCUUCCGAUACGGGCAGACUAGAGGUAUGCAGGGGAGAACGGAAUUCCUGGUGUAGCGGUGAAAUGCGCAGAUAUCAGGAGGAACACCGGUGGCGAAGGCGGUUCUCUGGGCAUUACCUGACGCUGAGGAGCGAAAGUGUGGGGAGCGAACAGG
This 253-nucleotide ribosomal RNA is filed under the name uncultured bacterium. Its description in RNAcentral is "partial 16S ribosomal RNA". It matches the Rfam family "Bacterial small subunit ribosomal RNA", at positions 524 to 776 of the family's 1533-position model. The record is from RNAcentral.